This 72-nucleotide transfer RNA is filed under the name Aeromicrobium panaciterrae. RNAcentral's name for it is "tRNA-Glu". It matches the Rfam family "tRNA". Rfam says of the family: Transfer RNA (tRNA) molecules are approximately 80 nucleotides in length. Lineage: Bacteria; Bacillati; Actinomycetota; Actinomycetes; Propionibacteriales; Nocardioidaceae. The record is from RNAcentral.
GCCUCGUUGGUCUAGCGGCAGGACGCCUGGUUCUCAACCAGGAGAUGGCGGGUUCGACCCCCGCACGAGGUA